UGAACCUCAACCUCCUACAAAGAUGUGA
RNAcentral lists this non-coding RNA (28 nucleotides) under Rattus norvegicus (Norway rat). Lineage: Eukaryota; Metazoa; Chordata; Mammalia; Rodentia; Muridae. The record is from RNAcentral.